CUUCCCUGUGAGCCUACACCAACUCUCAGCACCUGCGUGACCCUGUGGCAAGGAGAUAAAUGGCUCAGAUGUGAAGAGCCAUCUCUACGUGAUCCCCCGACGUCAGCCUUCUCUGCACCUUCCCCAGGCAUCCCAAGAGCUUCCUGGCAAUGCCGUGGCUGUUUCAAGCCAGGUUUGUGUCUGCAAUAGACCUGGCAAUGCAGGCAGAAAGCAUCUCCAUCACAAAAGUGGCCAGGGGUAUUGGAGCACAGGAAUUUAGCGGAGCCACAAGAAGGCUGAGAGAACAAAAACCCCGGGAUUUCAGCAAGGGCCCUCGCUUCCGUGAGCUCUCUGCCAGGCUUGGAAAUGCACCAGCUGUGAUGAAGAACCCAUGGAAGGGGGAGCAGGAGCUGGACAGGGGUUUUCUGCCUCGGUGUGGGACCAGGCACCAAGGAUGAGCGAUGAAAUGAGGCAGGACUGACAAGAAGACGGAGGGAGAGCAAGAGGACACUGCAAGCAGGUCAUAGCAGCUGCGGGGAUGGGAAGAAGAAGGUGUCAGUGAUUUGGUGAAGUGGAGCUUGGCUGUGGCUGUUGAGCCAGUGCAAAAUUUCCCAAGCUGUGAUGGAGACCAACAGCAUGGUUCACAGCUCUCCAAGCCUUAGACCUUCCCUUCAAACAGAAGGGAAGGUACAGGGGUGAAAGGACUCAUGGAAACAUUACUAAGUCUGCAGAGAGUAGCAAUUGACCAUAAAUAAUUGCCAGCAAAUCCAUGAUAAUGAUGGCUGACCAUGCCAAGGAGAGAAGUUGGCUAGGCCCUGGAGAUUUCAUCUAGAUAGAUUAAUCAGGUUUGGCUUCCUCUUUUUGCUUUCCCCCUCCGUGUUUAAGGAAGAUGAAACAAAAUGAUUAGAGACACAGAAAGGAAGUAAUACGAUAACAUUAAAUGGAGACUAUUCUUAAGAAAUAGAAGAAAGAAAAAAAUAAUAAUAAAAAACAAAGACAAGAGUAUGUCCUGGUCA
RNAcentral lists this long non-coding RNA (995 nucleotides) under Anas platyrhynchos platyrhynchos (common mallard). RNAcentral's name for it is "lncRNA (ENSAPLG00000017960.1)". The record is from RNAcentral. Lineage: Eukaryota; Metazoa; Chordata; Aves; Anseriformes; Anatidae.